RNAcentral lists this ribosomal RNA (164 nucleotides) under Poa pratensis (Kentucky bluegrass). RNAcentral describes it as "5.8S ribosomal RNA". It matches the Rfam family "5.8S ribosomal RNA". From Rfam's summary of the family: 5.8S ribosomal RNA (5.8S rRNA) is a component of the large subunit of the eukaryotic ribosome. Lineage: Eukaryota; Viridiplantae; Streptophyta; Magnoliopsida; Poales; Poaceae. The record is from RNAcentral.
CACACGACUCUCGGCAACGGAUAUCUCGGCUCUCGCAUCGAUGAAGAACGUAGCGAAAUGCGAUAACUGGUGUGAAUUGCAGAAUCCCGCGAACCAUCGAGUCUUUGAACGCAAGUUGCGCCCGAGGCCACUUGGCCGAGGGCACGCCUGCCUGGGCGUCACGC